UACGUAGGGUGCAAGCGUUACUCGGAAUUACUGGGCGUAAAGCGUGCGCAGGCGGUUAUAUAAGACAGAUGUGAAAUCCCCGGGCUCAACCUGGGAACUGCAUUUGUGACUGUAUAGCUAGAGUACGGCAGAGGGGGAUGGAAUUCCGCGUGUAGCAGUGAAAUGCGUAGAUAUGCGGAGGAACACCGAUGGCGAAGGCAAUCCCCUGGGCCUGUACUGACGCUCAUGCA
RNAcentral lists this ribosomal RNA (230 nucleotides) under uncultured microorganism. RNAcentral's name for it is "partial 16S ribosomal RNA". It matches the Rfam family "Bacterial small subunit ribosomal RNA", at positions 524 to 753 of the family's 1533-position model. The record is from RNAcentral.